AGAAGCUUAAGUUAUACAUAAACUAGUAACCUUCAAAGCUACCAAAAAAGAUCCACUUUAGCUUCUG
RNAcentral lists this transfer RNA (67 nucleotides) under Eunectes notaeus (yellow anaconda). Its description in RNAcentral is "transfer RNA-Trp". Lineage: Eukaryota; Metazoa; Chordata; Lepidosauria; Squamata; Boidae. The record is from RNAcentral.